UCCACCUGAGUUUGGUUAUAUUAGUACUCUUAAGCUGCAAAGAUUCUUUAAGUUUGUUAACUAACCUAUUAAUUGCACUUGUAGUACGCAGUGCUUUCCAAUAAUUCUUUGCUAUUGUUCUGGAAAGUGAAACUUGUCAGUCUUUUUGAUAUUACAAAAUAGUAUCAUCCUUGGCCCUAUCAUGUUUAAGAUCUUUAUUUGUACUCUGUUUAACAGACUCAACUUCCUGCUGUACUUUUUAAUAUUAUUACAAAUUUAAGUGGUUCAGAUGAGGCAAGUCCUGCAAAUCCUAUGGAUGACAUCAUGGUAAGUAAACUCCACCUAAUAAUACUUGAUAUCUUUUUGUUUGUUCAGUUGAUACUCUUACUAAACCACAUAAAAGAGUGUUGUAUGUUUAGUUGGUUGCACCUCAGUUCUUGAGGUCAUUUUAGUUUAAUGAGGUUAAGGAGUUUCUGAAGUAUUUUUUAAUCUAUUUUUAUUUAGUUUUUUUGGAGUAGAUACUUGAUAUGAUAUCUUGGAGUUUAUGUUAUAAUGUUUUUUAGCUGAAUAUUUCUACCCCUACCAUACUGUCUAAUGCAAAUAAGCCUAUGUGGUUCCCUCUAUUUUAAAUCAAAGUCUAAUUAAUAUUAUUUUUUUGUAGGAUGAUGAUGCGUAAACCAACGCUUCUUGCAAUAUGGUUCAUGUGCUGCACAAGUCGGAAG
Molecule: long non-coding RNA, 701 nt
Filed under: Nicotiana tabacum (common tobacco)
Lineage: Eukaryota; Viridiplantae; Streptophyta; Magnoliopsida; Solanales; Solanaceae
Description: long non-coding RNA (NTAB_LNC012204)
Source: RNAcentral